Actinia tenebrosa (Australian red waratah sea anemone) is the source of this 935-nucleotide long non-coding RNA. The record is from RefSeq and is a predicted model, not a curated record. Lineage: Eukaryota; Metazoa; Cnidaria; Anthozoa; Actiniaria; Actiniidae.
CUCCUCAGAGGGUGGUGAUGAUUCAUUGCACGUUGUUGCCAAUAGAUGGACAGUUCUCGCGACAUCAGUAUUAGUAAUUUAAUUUAUUACUGUUGUGUGGAUCGGAAAUCCUCGCAUAAAUCAAGGAAGUUCAGCAGUCGUGUGACGUUUUGAAGGAGUGGCGGGUGUUAGUGAUGGCAGCUUAAAAGGCUUGGCUCAACCGCGCAGACGACAAUAUUUAAAGGCAUAGGCCUUUGUCCUCAAUUGGCCUUUCACUCUCUUCAUCAGUGCUCUCUCUUAAGAGUAUUCAAUGCUGAAGCUGCACUUGAUUAGAGGGAAGUUGAAACAGAGAUGGGAUCCUGGGUCAACCAAUAUACCUCUUGUCCCAAAUUCCGCGUACUAUCCUGUUCAACUGAUGAGACGAUGUUCACUUCAUCUUUGUAAUCCUGACCUUAGCUACAGCAUUGUUCCAAGUGACAGCGAUGUGGUUCCAAGCAUUUGUGUCAAUACUAAACAGUCAAUUACAAGCAGGAAAAGUGAUUAGUUAUCCAUUAUGUUUCAAAAACUCAUGAUUAAUUCAUAAGCCUUAAAGAAAUUCAAGAUGUAUCAGCACAACUAGAAUCGAUUUGAAGCGAAAGGAUUUGGAGGUUUUGGAAAAAAAGCUUCAAUCGCCAUUUUGAUAAAAUAAUGUUUCAGGUUAAUGAAACAAAGUAAAAACCAGCAUUGAAGAAACCAGUGGAUUAAGAACCAUCAGGCUGAAUUUUAGCCAAUAAAGCAAGCAAUAUCCGAGAACCACCACUUCAGCCCGACAAACAAGACAAGUUCUUAUGUGAAGCUUUAACCAACAUGGAACAUGUCACCAAAAGCUCAUUGAGAAUAUCGUCAAUCUUUGAUAUGAAUAAAAGACUUUCCAGUGUCAAUAGCUAACUUACUAAUAAAAACCAAUUACGUUUUUA